This is a long non-coding RNA of Nicotiana tabacum (common tobacco), 1880 nucleotides long. RefSeq lists it as uncharacterized. The record is from RefSeq and is a predicted model, not a curated record. NCBI's taxonomy places the organism in Eukaryota, Viridiplantae, Streptophyta, Magnoliopsida, Solanales, Solanaceae.
AUCUUAAUCCAUUUUAAAUUCUCUCUCUGUUUAUUAAGUUUAUUUUUUAUCUUUUUUUUUAUUUUAUUCAUCCUUCAUUAUUACCCAAAUUAAUUUUAAAAGAAGAACACCCAUUGUAAAAGAGUAAUGAGGUUUAAUGUAUUUUGUGGUUAUGGGCAGCCUGCUUCCUUGAGAACAUCAACGACAAAUGUUAACCCAGGAAGACGUUUUUUUGGAUGCAAGUACUACGGGGCUAAGGAUCGUGUGGCUUAUGGAUUUUUCCAGUGGUAUGAUCCAUAAUUUCCUGGCCAAUCGAAGGUGAUAAUUCUUGGCUUACAGAAGGAUAAAAUGGAACUUGAGGCUGAAUUGAAGAAUUUUUUUUUUUGGAAGAUGUUGCUUAUUAUUAGUAUAUGUUUCAAUGUGUAUUUUUGGUUGUUCAAAUGCUAGGAAGUGUUGUGUAAUCUGAAACUUGGUUGUUGGUUUUGUUUCAAAUGCUAGGAAGUGUAAUCUAAGACUUGGUUGUUGCUUUUAUUUCAAAUGCUAGGAAGUGUACUGUCAUUGCUAUAUAUUUGAUAGUUUCGCAUAAUUAAAAAUACAAGGAAAGCUAGAAAUAACACAUUGUAUUAGAGCUCAAAAGGCCUACAAUUGAUUAGUUUUACAUUACAUCCCAUAAGGUGCAUUGAAGUAAAACAAGCUUUAAUAGUUUACAUCAUAUUACAUCAUAACUUGCACCACAAAAAUAUUAUCCAAAACACAAUCAUAGUAUCGGCAUACAACAGUUCCCAAUAGAGUAGUGUUGAAGCUCAAACACCUCCAGUUUUUUCAUUAGCUUUUGGUGAUUUUGUCCUUAAAUACUGUAGUAAAGCACUUCUAUGUUGAAGUUGUCUAGUUGUGAUUGCUUGUUUUCCUUUCCAUUUCAGGCCUUUUACUUGGUUUAUAAUCAAGAUCACUGGUCACUAUAGCUGAACUUUCAACUGCUCCAUUGUUCCUUCAACUGUCGAUUACCCUAUUAACAGGCCUACCUUGCUGCAAAUUAAGUUUUAAAAAAACAGAUAUCAAACAAUAGAGUUUAACCUGCAACCUCAAAACUAGCAACCAAACUGCUAAUUGCCUCAAUACAUGUAUAGCCACUUUUGCUGACAAAUAUUCCAUGUCCCACUGCUCUUGGCCUCUUAAAUGCAGUAAGAGCAUCUCUGUUGCUUGCUUGAGAUUGUUGCACAUCUGAAACCUGAGAAUGCUGGACAUCUGAAACUUGAGAUUAUUGCACAUCUAAGUUUUGUGAGUUCUGCACCAUGCUGCUAUUGCUUCUUCCUUUACCACCCUUAGCUUUAGCAUUCUUCUUACUAGUAAAUGCUUGGGAGUCAGCCUUUGAUCUCUUUUUAGAGGUUGAUUUUUGUGAGUGAGCCACUCCCUUCCUUCUUCAGCGCAUUGACGUUUCCUUUUUUGUUUCCAGCACGUUGAAUCCACGGGUUUUUUUAAAAUUUGACAUCUCGUUAAUUUGGUAUGCAUAAGUUUCACAUAUGCCAAAUCAAAACUUAGGAGUAAAAUAUAUGCACUACAAACCAAUAAAUAUCAGCACUCAUUAUGGUGAUAAUAAACAGAACAUGCUAAAACAUAUAAAAACUCUGGAGUAAAAUAUAUGCACUAUAAAGCAAUCAAUAUCAGCACUCAUUAUGGUAAUAAUAAACAAAACAUACUAAAACAAAAUAUAGGUGUAUGUCUUCACUAAGCUAAGUCCUCAACAAGAAGAAUCUUCAUUGUACUAUCACUUCAACACUUACUUUACUUUUGUGGAGGUACAUAAGGCAAGGUGCAAAACGCUGAUAUGAAUUAUCGAUAAAACGUGUUAAAACAAAGUAAUUUAGCAGGCAUCAAAAGUUAAAACAUGGAUAUCUUAAAUA